Molecule: long non-coding RNA, 334 nt
Filed under: Androctonus crassicauda
Lineage: Eukaryota; Metazoa; Arthropoda; Arachnida; Scorpiones; Buthidae
Source: RNAcentral
GCUAUAUCUGUUUAUCUUAGACUUAUUAAUAAGUACUGUACUGUAGAUGCAAAAGACAUACUUUGUAGUGGUUUUUUACAUUUUUUGCUAUUCCUGAAUGAAAUGUAAUGACCAUGAAAAAUAAACGUUGUCUAUAUUCAGCAAUGUGGGAAUCCGACUUUGCCAGUUUGAUUUAUAUAAAAAAGUUUGAAAUGCAAAUUAUUUUAAAAUUAGUAAACAGACCAGGUUCGGGAAACGAAAGAAAAACAGAAAAAACAAGCUUCAAAGCCGAACCAGAAACUUUUUUGUUUAAAGUACUUUCGGGUUUAAUGUGUAGGCGGAGCUUAAGGUGACC